GUUAAAAAGCUCGUAGUUGAAUUUCGGGUUUCCGGCGCUCCCGCUUCAUUGCGGGGACACGGGGACCCUCCUCGCCUUAGGGCGUCAUUUACUGUGAAAAAAUUAGAGUGUUCAAAGCAGGCAAUCGCUUGAAUACAUUAGCAUGGAAUAAUAAGAUAGGAUUACGUCUAUUUUGUUGGUUGCGGACGAUAAUAAUGAUUAAUAGGGAUAGUUGGGGGUGUCCGUAUUGAGCUGUCAGAGGUGAAAUUCUUGGAUUUGCUCAAGACGAACUACUGCGAAAGCAUUCACCAAGGAUGUUUUCAUUAAUUAAGAACGAAAGUCAGGGGAUCGAAGAGGAUUAGAUACCCUCGUAGUCUUGACCAUAAACUAUGCUGACUUGGGAUUGGCAGACGUUGUAUCGACUCUGUCAGCACCGUAUGAUAAAUCAAAGUCUUUGGGUUUUGGGGGGAGUAUGGUCGCAAGGCUGAAACUUAAAGGAAUUGACGGAAGGGCACCAUUAGGAGUGGAGCCUGCGGCUUAAUUUGACUCAACACGGGGAAACUUACCAGGUCCAGACAUAGUUAGGAUUGACAGAUUGAGAGCUCUUUCAUGAUUCUAUGGGUGGUGGUGCAUGGCCGUUCUUAGUUGGUGGAGUGAUUUGUCUGGUUAAUUUUGUUUACGAAUGAGACCUUUGUUUGCUAAAUAGACGGGUCCUGUUCGCAGGGUUUUGUCUUCUUAGAGGGACUAUCGGCGUUAUAGUCGAUGGAAGUUGGAGGCAAUAACAGGUCUGUGAUGCUCUUAGAUGUUCUGGGCCGCACGCGUGCUACACUGACCGGUGCAACAAGUUUAUUUCCUUGGCUCGAUAGGCCUGGGUAAUCCUCGAACGCUGGUCGUGAUGGGGAUAGAUCCUUGCAAUUUUUGAUCUUCAACGAGGAAUUCCUAGUAAAUGCAAGUC
This 934-nucleotide ribosomal RNA is filed under the name uncultured marine eukaryote. RNAcentral's name for it is "bacterial SSU rRNA". It matches the Rfam family "Eukaryotic small subunit ribosomal RNA", at positions 618 to 1629 of the family's 1831-position model. The record is from RNAcentral.